GCCAACGUAAGCUACGCAAACGCUUGUUGUGUCUGCUCCUGUUACCUGCUGCCCCUUUGCUCACUCGCCCAUUUAUCCUCCAAUGCUUCGCACUCCUUGAACCGGCACCACUGCCAGAGACUCCUCUUCUUCUCUCUUACCGACACGAGGCAAAGAGUUCGAGGGGUUUAUUCAUGACCCUCUACCCGAAGGGGGGAAAGGGGAGGAUGAGGGAGGAGAGUUCUAAUGCAGACUUAGGCGCAAGCGAUGGCCCUGGCGUUUCGUGACCCUCGUCCCGAAGGCCGCGUCCGAGGUGCUCGACGAAAGGCCGAGCCCAAGUGGUGCAACAUGAGGAGGGAGGAGAGUUUUAAGGCAGCCUCAGGCGAAUACGGUGCACCCCGUCCUUUGCCGUCAAUAAGGUUGCAUCGUUCAUGGUGCCGGUCGGGGCGUUCCUCGCUUCUACUCUUAGUAUGCGGUUUGCUUCACCUUGAGGCACUCGAGUUAGCAAACAUAUUUUAAUGAGAAAUGAAGGGUGCAAAGGCUAUUGCAGAGUCACUGAAAAAAAAGAUCAACUUUAUAUAUCCUAAACAAGAAUAUGAUUGACUACUAUGGCAUUCUUGUUGGUCAACUAUAUGAUUGCUUCUGCUAUCAUUGUGUUAGUGGGCAUUCACCUUCUCAUGUGAAGACCAAAUGACUGAAGGAGAAUAACAGAAGCAAGGAGGUGUUGAUUCUAAUAUGACAACAAGGCUGUCAGAUCUGAUUGUAUGAUUUAAGGUCAGGUUAAUGGAAUGGCCAAUUUUCUUUCUUGUAACUUGUCUGAGGAACUAAAUCCAUUAAUGGUUUAAGUGAUAAUUCGUUCAGUGUCUAAAACUCCACCAAUGACCGGCAGGGUAUCCAAAUUUAACAAAGAGAUCAUGUUUUCUCGUGUGCUUAGGUUUAGUAUGUACAAGUAUGUAUGCAUAGGAUAGAGUCAUACUAGUAUAAUGUUUAAUAUACUGUAGCAGUCAAAUAAUAAUAUGUAUUUGACUUCAAAGAUUUGGAGUUUUUAUGGGUUGUAGUUAGCUGUGGAUUGGGAUAACACUGAUCUGCUUGAGCUGUAAAAUAAUGUAUAUACAAGU
Long non-coding RNA from Musa acuminata AAA Group (dessert banana), 1097 nucleotides. RefSeq lists it as uncharacterized. Lineage: Eukaryota; Viridiplantae; Streptophyta; Magnoliopsida; Zingiberales; Musaceae. The transcript has 3 exons. The record is from RefSeq and is a predicted model, not a curated record.